Molecule: ribosomal RNA, 267 nt
Filed under: uncultured bacterium
Lineage: Bacteria
Description: partial 16S ribosomal RNA
Rfam family: Bacterial small subunit ribosomal RNA
Source: RNAcentral
CCGAUGGCGACCGGCGCACGGGUGAGUAACACGUAUCCAACCUGCCGAUAACUCGGGGAUAGCCUUUCGAAAGAAAGAUUAAUAUCCGAUAGGAUAUCAAGAUCGCAUGAUCUUGAUAUUAAAGAAUUUCGGUUAUCGAUGGGAUGCGUUCCAUUAGUUAGUUGGCGGGGUAACGGCCCACCAAGACGACGAUGGAUAGGGGUUCUGAGAGGAAGGUCCCCCACAUUGGAACUGAGACACGGUCCAAACUCCUACGGAAGGCAGCAG